GAUGAACGCUGGCGGCGUGCCUAAUACAUGCAAGUCGAGCGAACAGACGAGGAGCUUGCUCCUCUGACGUUAGCGGCGGACGGGUGAGUAACACGUGGAUAACCUACCUAUAAGACUGGGAUAACUUCGGGAAACCGGAGCUAAUACCGGAUAAUAUAUUGAACCGCAUGGUUCAAUAGUGAAAGACGGUUUUGCUGUCACUUAUAGAUGGAUCCGCGCCGCAUUAGCUAGUUGGUAAGGUAACGGCUUACCAAGGCGACGAUGCGUAGCCGACCUGAGAGGGUGAGCGGCCACACUGGAACUGAGACACGGUCCAGACUCCUACGGGAGGCAGCAGUAGGGAAUCUUCCGGAAUGGGCGAAAGCCUGACGGAGCAACGCCGCGUGAGUGAUGAAGGUCUUCGGAUCGUAAAACUCUGUUAUUAGGGAAGAACAAAUGUGUAAGUAACUAUGCACGUCUUGACGGUACCUAAUCAGAAAGCCACGGCUAACUACGUG
This 497-nucleotide ribosomal RNA is filed under the name uncultured bacterium. Its description in RNAcentral is "partial 16S ribosomal RNA". It matches the Rfam family "Bacterial small subunit ribosomal RNA", at positions 28 to 507 of the family's 1533-position model. The record is from RNAcentral.